CCUUCGGGUGGCAGCAGUGGGGAAUAUUGGUCAAUGGGCGAAAGCCUGACCCAGCAACGCCGCGUGAAGGAUGAAGGCUUUCGGGUUGUAAACUUCUUUUGUCAGGGAAGAGCAGAAGACGGUCCCUGUAGAAUAAGCCACGGCUAACUAUGCGCCAGCACCCGCUGUUAUGCGUCGGUGGCAAGCGUUUUCCGGAUUUACUGGGUGUAAAGGGCGUGUAGCCGGGCUGAAAAGUCAGAUGUGAAAUCCGGGGGCUUAACGCACGAAAUGCUUUUGACACUGUUAUUCUGGAGUAUCGGAGAGGCAGGAGGAAUUCCUGGUGUAGCGGUGAAAUGCGUAGAUAUUAAGAGGAACACCAGUGGCGAAGGCGACCUGCUAGACGACAACUGACGGUGAUGCGCGAAAGCGUGGGGAGCAAACAGGAUUAGAUACCCUUGUAGUC
Molecule: ribosomal RNA, 442 nt
Filed under: uncultured bacterium
Lineage: Bacteria
Description: partial 16S ribosomal RNA
Rfam family: Bacterial small subunit ribosomal RNA
Source: RNAcentral